UGGGGAAUUUUGGACAAUGGGGGAAACCCUGAUCCAGCCAUCCCGCGUGUGCGAUGAAGGCCUUCGGGUUGUAAAGCACUUUUGGCAGGAAAGAAACGUCAUGGGUUAAUACCCCGUGAAACUGACGGUACCUGCAGAAUAAGCACCGGCUAACUACGUGCCAGCAGCCGCGGUAAUACGUAGGGUGCAAGCGUUAAUCGGAAUUACUGGGCGUAAAGCGUGCGCAGGCGGUUCGGAAAGAAAGAUGUGAAAUCCCAGAGCUCAACUUUGGAACUGCAUUUUUAACUACCGGGCUAGAGUGUGUCAGAGGGAGGUGGAAUUCCGCGUGUAGCAGUGCAAUGCGUAGAUAUGCGGAGGAACACCGAUGGCGAAGGCAGCCUCCUGGGAUAACACUGACGCUCAUGCACGAAAGCGUGGGGAGCAAACAGG
Molecule: ribosomal RNA, 429 nt
Filed under: Acidobacteriota bacterium
Lineage: Bacteria; Pseudomonadati; Acidobacteriota
Description: Acidobacteria bacterium partial 16S ribosomal RNA
Rfam family: Bacterial small subunit ribosomal RNA
Source: RNAcentral